UGGGGAAUCUUAGACAAUGGGGGCAACCCUGAUCUAGCCAUGCCGCGUGAGUGAUGAAGGCCUUAGGGUUGUAAAGCUCUUUCAGCUGGGAAGAUAAUGACGGUACCAGCAGAAGAAGCCCCGGAUAACUCCGUGCCAGCAGCCGCGGUAAUACGGAGGGGGCUAGCGUUGUUCGGAAUUACUGGGCGUAAAGCGCACGUAGGCGGACUGGAAAGUUGGGGGUGAAAUCCCGGGGCUCAACCUCGGAACUGCCUUCAAAACUAUCAGUCUGGAGUUCGAGAGAGGUGAGUGGAAUUCCGAGUGUAGAGGUGAAAUUCGUAGAUAUUCGGAGGAACACCAGUGGCGAAGGCGGCUCACUGGCUCGAUACUGACGCUGAGGUGCGAAAGCGUGGGGAGCAAACA
Molecule: ribosomal RNA, 402 nt
Filed under: uncultured bacterium
Lineage: Bacteria
Description: partial 16S ribosomal RNA
Rfam family: Bacterial small subunit ribosomal RNA
Source: RNAcentral